AUACAUAGGGGGCAAGCGUUAUCCGGAAUUAUUGGGCGUAAAGGGUGCGUAGGCGGUCUAUUAAGUCUGAGGUGUAAGUGCAGGGCUCAACCCUGUGAUGCUUUAGAAACUGGUAGACUUGAGUGAGAUAGAGGCAAGUGGAAUUCCAUGUGUAGCGGUAAAAUGCGUAAAUAUAUGGAGGAACACCAGUGGCGAAGGCGGCUUGCUGGGUCUAUACUGACGCUGAGGCACGAAGGCGUGGGGAGCAAAAAGGAUUAGAUACCCUGGUAGUCCACGCCGUAAACGAUGAGUACUAAGUGUUGCGAGAACGCAGUGCUGAAGUUAACAUAUUAAGUACUCCGCCUGAGUAGUACGUACGCAAGUAUGAAACUCAAAUGAAUUGACGGGG
This 388-nucleotide ribosomal RNA is filed under the name uncultured bacterium. RNAcentral's name for it is "partial 16S ribosomal RNA". It matches the Rfam family "Bacterial small subunit ribosomal RNA", at positions 523 to 918 of the family's 1533-position model. The record is from RNAcentral.